AUGAAUAGUGUGGUAAAUAGGACUGGAUAACAGGUGAAGACUCUCACACCAGAGUAAGAAUGGCUUAAGAAUGGCAUGUCUGGUGAAUGAUUUUCUCCCAAAAGUUGGCCAUCUAGAGGAUAACGAUCAAACAUCACCACAGAAUCCAGCAGUAUUGAUGAUUCUCACUUGUAUGUAUGAUCAAGUAUCUUACCGUAAACAUUCUUACCAACAUAUCAGCCUCAACCCUGGGUGCAUCCUUCAUUUUGGAUAUGACUGUUAGUGCAUGCAGAGUGCUGAAGUUAAGACACUGGAUGUUCAACUACCUGGCAGAAGACACUGGAGCAGGGAAAUCAGGGGCAAAGUUUAACUUCCUGUUGAAAAUGUGCCUGUUAAAAACAGAAUCCUGUGACAAAACUAUGGAUGAGCAAUUUCCGAAGAGACAUCCAGGGAAUCUUACGGGGUGUGGAGAAGAAAUCUGUGCUUUAGAAUGAUCCGGAUAAAGGAAGAGUCUCUUCAGAAUAUCUUUCUGCAAAAUCUAUCUGCUGGGCCACCGAAAAGUCAACCUCGAUGAAUUUGCUGGAAAGAAUAAUUUUCCUAGAAUGUUUUUUUGCAGUAGGAGGAGCUUGCU
This is a long non-coding RNA of Struthio camelus australis, 610 nucleotides long. The record is from Ensembl. NCBI's taxonomy places the organism in Eukaryota, Metazoa, Chordata, Aves, Struthioniformes, Struthionidae.